GGGUUCUCAAAAUCAAUGAUUAAAAGAAAUUUAGCCAUUAAGCUCGACAUUGUAGUAUCUUGACCAUUCAGUAGUGUGAAGAGAUAGAAAGAGCUUUUAAGCACUUUCAUCUCUUGUAUCCAACAAAUCAAAUGGUCAGAAUCCCAAAUCAUGUCAAUUUGCUGAGCCUGGAUUCUCAGUUUAAUUAACCACAAAAAUUUUCCUGCAAAAGAAGCAGGCUUGUUUUCCCAUGUUUUUGUUUCAUAUUACAAGAAAGUUGCUUCAACAAGUUUGCCAAAAUAAUUCUUUAACAAGAGAGGAAUCACACACCCACAUGAUGACGAUGAUGAUGAUGAUUUUAAUACUCAAACAUGAUGGAGAACAAGCUGAUUACAUUUGAACACAAAACAAAAAAGAAAUGCUACAGCGGCAGGAAAUAGUGGAACACAUGCAUAUGUAUGCAAGCUGAAACAUUCACUGCAACACAG
RNAcentral lists this unclassified non-coding RNA (467 nucleotides) under Hevea brasiliensis (rubber tree). Lineage: Eukaryota; Viridiplantae; Streptophyta; Magnoliopsida; Malpighiales; Euphorbiaceae. The record is from RNAcentral.